CGGCUCAAACAGCGUAUCCCCCAGGUGAGCUACACAAUCUUCGUACGCCCAUAGGUUGUAUCAGGUGUCAAUCAUAGAAAACAUGAACCCCCUAAUAUCUUUUACAAAUGGAGCUGCACAGAAAAAAAGAAGACUUGAGCACAAACCAGUCUGACAGUAACUAUAUGUCAACAUCACAACCAGGAAGGAGAAACAUUUAUAUUAUUUUUCAUAAAUUUCUAAAUACGGGUUUCUGUGCAACGUCAUCGCAGGUAUGAGUGCGCAGCCAGAGGCAGAAAGCAUGACAUUUCUUAGGCUACGUUCACACUGCAGGUUAUGAUGCACAAUCCGGAUUCUUUGUUAAAUCUGAUCUUUUUGUGCGGUCGUUCACAUUACAACAUUGAAUGUGGCAUCUAAUGUGAACGAAAUACGUUUGUGAAGUGACCCGCAUGUGCACAAAGCACAAAUUGCUUUCCACGCAUGUUUGUGUUGUCGAACAAUGGUGACGUUUGUCGCAUAUUGAUGAUGUAUAGGUCGGAUGAACGCGACCUGAGCGUCCACACUGCAGUCACAUCGGAUACAUAUCUGAUUUAUAUCCACGUACAAAAGAGGCCUGGGUCGGAUUAGAAAAAAUCAGAAUUGCACUGUUCACACUUACAUGAAAAAAUCAGAUAUGUGUCACAUAUGGUUAAAAAAUCGGAAUUGACCUGCAGUGUGAACAUAGCCUUAUUUGUUUACUAGCCGAGUCAACGGAGAAAGAAAACGACAAGGAGCUGUUGUGCUGUAAACUACACAAAUCGGCAAAACAAACAAUCGGCCAACAUUACGACCCUGCUCCUCAUAACAGCAACAUCUAAAACAACGUCACAACCUGGUAAAUUGAGUGAAACUCAUGGACAUUUCAGCAAGUGUUUUUCAAGACAAAGCUAUUUUUCAAUGAAAUGACAUUUUGUUGCAGUUGUGUCAGGGAGAACUUACAAACAAUUCGGCAUCUUUAUUGAUAUCAGUUCACUCCAAAGCAGUCUUUUGCCCCUUGGUUACGUGCGCACCAAGUAUUGUUUGUACACAAGAAAUCUGUCUAUAAGGAUGGCUGGCAGAGGUGGGAUUUAUGACCUAUACUACAGCCUGUCACCAGAGGGUGCUGUUCUCGGGGUGGCUUCACCCAGUGAGGAGGCAGAUGGCGUCCAUUCUAUAUACGGCCUACAGUCAUGGCCCUCAGGCUCAGUCCAGUCUUGUUGCACCUCGCUCAGGUCUAGUCCCUUAGAUGGUGCUCGUCUUUUAAUUUGGUCCAGUCAGUUGUAACGCUUAAAGCUGGUCCAGUUACAUCUAAACUCCUCCAGGUGGGUCUAGUCUAGAGCAGAACAGACUUUUGAAGCAGAUACUUCAGGUUUUGGUGUUCGGGCCAUGCUCUGCUUCUCCUAUCCUCUAUUCACAAAACUUCUCAGGCAGGAUUAGUUUGUGUUGUCCCCCUCUAAUGCUGCUCUCUUUCUCUCUUUCUUGUUGAGAGAUACUCUGUCUGUCCCCUUAAAGUGUUGGUUAUCCAGACUUAUGGGGACAUUUGCCCCCAUACCCACCAAAUGGGGACCAUGUCCUUUUACUGUCAUGUUUCCAAGACCUUUGCCUACUUUCCCACGAAACAUUUCAUUUAUUUUCUGUUUGCUGUCUUAUCUGAUCCUUGCAGGAGUGAAAAUGUCCCUCACCAUGCACAGCAGAAAGAGCUGUGUAGAACCUUAAGUAAUGAUGCUGUGUGAUGGUUCAGCCACUAGAGGGCAGCAAUGUUAAGGGUUUAAUCUCAGAGCAGAACAAAAAGAGAGAAGCUCGGUCAUAAACAGAGUAUGAUUCCAGGAUGGCAGAGAACAACACGAUGAGAAAUGACCUUUAUCGAAUUUAAUGUCCUGAGACUGUGCCGAGUACGAAGAAGUAAAAAAAGAGUGAAUUCACUUUGUUAGUCUGGACAUGUAGUCAGGCAGUGAGUCAAAUUCAAUCUAAAUCAGUGCUGAAGAAAAGCAAACUCUGUUGACGCUUUAAAAACACACCAUAAUGACUAUUUUAUUCUCUUGUUUUAACCAAAUAAAAUCUGUGUAAAUAUGUUUCUAUUUUAAUAUUCUCUGAUAAAAAUUUAUGGUUUGUUUUUAUGCUGUCAUGUGCACAACCUGUGUCUGUUUCUAUGAAGCACCCUAGGGCAAAUCUUUUUCUUUUAUAAUGCAACUUUAACUUGAACACAGAUAUAUAAAAAAUGAAAAGAGCUUUAUUUAUAAACAUUCAUAAAUUUACUCCUUAAAUCCCAAAAAAUAAUUAUAGUGGUUUCAAAAUUCCUUACAAAGACAAACAGAAAGGUGUAGACUGUUAAAAACAACACUGAUAAUAACAUGUCCUUUAUACUGUGAUAUAGACUUCAACCUCUUUAAACACUUAACAGAUUACAAAAAUAAUUUUGCUUUCUUAGUGAUACACGUUUCCACAUUUCUUAAUCUCGUUUCUCUUUUUCUACCACCAACAAUCUCUUUUUCUGAAUAUGAAUUAAUUACAAACUAUCAAAUCUAUCAUUAGCAUUGAUAUGUCUGAAGGUAUCUCCUCCCUUAAAACCUCAAACUGAGCUGAAACCACACCACAACUUCACCCAGCUGUCAAUCAUUUCACUGCAGGGGCUGAUGGGAGAUCUGUCGGAGGACCUGUUAGAAAGCAGGUGUCCUCGUCUGAUCUCAGAGCGUCACUUCUCCUCAGGAUCACCAGAGGAAACACCGACACACAAAAUGCUUCUCCUCCCAGCUGCUGCCCUGUACUGUCUGUGUUCAGGUGAGUAUUUCAAUCAGCCAAUCAGGAGCCAGCAAACUCGACCUUUACCAAACACCGUCUCACUCACCUGCUUCACCUGUGUGUGUGUGUGUGUGUGUGUGUGUGUGUGUGUGUGUGUGUGUGUGUGUGUGUGUGUGUGUGCAGCUCUGCUUUCAACAGCAGAAGAUCUGAUCCAGGAGGAUUUAACUCUGACCAGGAGAGAAGGAGAACAAGUCUCCUUCAGCUGUGAUCAAACUGACCGAUGUUCUAGUGACUGGGUAUUCUGGUACCAGAAGAAAGACUCAGACACAUUCAGAGUGAUUCUUGGUAUAACCAGGAGUAGUGGUCGAAUACGUAAAGGCUUCAAUCAUUCUCAGGAAGAUGAUUUCUCAGCUGUAGAAACUCAGAACAGCUGUCAGUUGCAGAUCCAGACAGUUAAAGUCUCUCAUUCAACCACCUACUACUGCUGCUGUUGGAAAUGGGAGACCCACAGUGAGAAAUGAAGAGAGCAGGCUGAACAAAAACUAAGAGAUGAAGAGAAAACCACCGACAGAGUCACAGACACACUGAACUGAGAGACUCCUGUAUUCACUGCUGUCAGGGUGUUAUUAUAGAUCUUUGAUUUCAUUUAGUUAUUAUAUAUAUAUUUUUAAUCAAAACUGUAUUUGCAGGUUUAUUGUUGUUCCUCAAAGUAAAGAACAAAGUGAAAGAAGCUGACAGUUACCUGUCUGAAAGAAAAGGAGAUGAAGCCUUCAGUGAAACUGUCAGUACGUUUACAUGUGUCACGACCAGGCUCUUCAGCCGCGACAAAAACAACGGAAGAUGCACUAGUUAACGUAAACGCAAUGAAUUUAUUAAGAAAACAGCACAACAGCAACUCAGGAGGUGAACACAAACAAGUCAUGGGGUGUGAGGAUCAGUAGAUCAGCUGUGUAGGUGCGUGCAUGCAUGAGUGAAUACGGGGUGUAAUGUGUGGUAGGAUGUUGGAUGCGUAAAACAAAAGACAAAGCCAUCCGCCCGGAGGGAAGGAGAGAGAGAACUGGUGGAGAAGGCGGGGUAUUUAUAGGUUGGGAGACACCGGGCCCAGGUGCUGCCAACCUCACUAACCGAUCGGACCGCCCCCUGGUAACCUCCUGCUUGACAGAGGGAAAAGCAUACAUUAGACACCAGGGAACCGUCGCACCCACCCCCACAAGAACGGGGUCCUGAAGGGAAUCCCGGGAUUAAACAAACCUAAGCAAACAGACCAACAUAAACACAAUACCCCACAGUAACACCAUAUCAGUGCACCCGUAUCCAGUCAACUUUUUUUUAUUUUUUUAUUUUUUUAUUUAAAGUGCUAAUCUAAAAAACAACCCAAACCCAACAUACAUUACAUUUUUACAGGCACCGUGAGCACAGUGGAACACUACAAGUCCAGGUACCAGACUGUUUCGUUGGUCCAACAUCCCUUAACCCAAACUCCCCACCCCAGCAACCGGUGCACCUAGGAAGCAAUUUAAGAGAUUGAGAGGAGGCAAGAGUAGAACCAAAAGGGAAACAGUUAGGCACAGUCGCCACGCGGGGGAGCCCGAGACAACGCGUCUGCCACCACGUUCUCGGCCCCCUUCACAUAGCGAAUGUCCAGAGAGUACGACUGCAGGAACAGCGACCACCUGACCAGCCGCUGGUUGGGACACUGCAAGGAGUUAAGAAAAGUUAGAGGGUUGUGGUCAGUGUACACGAUGGUAGGGGCACCGCUGCCACCAACAUAAACGUCAAAAUGUUUUAAAGCCAAAAUUAACGCAAGUGCUUCUUUUUCGAUAACCGCGUAAUUUAACUGACACGGGUUAAAUUUCUUGGAAAAGAAACUAACAGGUUUAUCGAUUCCCAAAUCAUCCGUCUGCAUGAGGACAGCUCCUGCUCCAGCGUGACUGGCAUCUACAUAGAGUUGAAACGGCUUGUCAAAACGCGGGGCAGACAGGACAGGAGCAGAGCAAAGCAGCUCUUUUACCUGUACGAACGCUUUAUCGCAAGUCGGAGUCCAAAUAUAUUUCGCCUUUCCUUUCAACAGAUCAGUUAAUGGUGCUACGACUGUUGAAAAAUUUCUACAGAACCCCCUGUAGUAGCCGACGAGACCAAGAAAGCGCAUAAGUUCUUUUUUCGUUGCCGGAACGGGGAACUGUUUCACCGCCUGAACUUUAGCAUCUACGGGCCGCACCUGGCCCUGCCCAACCACACGGCCCAAGUAUGUAACGGUUGGUCUGGCAAACUCACACUUUGCGAAGUUAACCGUGAGCCUUGCCUCCGCCAAACGAGUGAACAGUUCCCGGAUACGCUCCAGAUGUUCUUCCCACGUAUCCGAAUACACCACUACGUCGUCUAGAUAAACCGCACAGCCCUGCAUGUCCCCAAUGACGCGGUUCAUAAGACGCUGAAAGGUAGCAGGCGCAUUUCUAAGGCCAAAGGGCAUCACUGUAUAGGAAUACAGACCGGCUGGUGUCACAAAAGAGGCUAUCUCACGCGCACGCGGCGUCAAGGGCACCUGCCAAUAUCCCUUUAACAGAUCAAAUUUACUGACGAACGCUGCUGAACCAACCUGAUCUAUACAAUCGUCCAUCCUGGGAAAUGGAAAAGAGUCAGGCUUGGUAACGUUGUUAACUUUACGAAAAUCUGAACAGAAACGGGGCGUGUUGUCAGACUUUGGAACGAGCAAGCAGGGAGAUGACCAACUGGAAGAGCAGGGUUCCGCAAUCCCAUUCCCCAGCAUGUAAUCAACCUCUGCAUCCAAAUGUUUACGACGAUCUGCAUUUACUCGAUAAAAUCUUUGUUUGAUGGGCGCAGCAUCCCCCACAUCUAUGUCAUGUUCAAUUAAGUGAGUGCGACCGGGUGUAUCACUGAAGAGGUCCGGAAAACCUCGGAUCACCUGGAUCAACUCUGCUCGGCGCGAUUCUGUUAAAUGUGGAAACAGGUUAUCCAACCGGGCCAUAGCCUCAGAAUUUUUAAGCCGCCCAUGUAACAGAGCCGAGUCAGGCAUAUUUAAUUCGUCAUCAGACUCCGAAUGACUAGGAUUAGAACACACCACUGGGGCCACCGCGCACACUGCAUGGAUCUGAACACUUGGCUGCGGGUCAACGGCAACUGUCUCCGAGGGGCGCGCGUAGUACGGCUUGAGCAAAUUUACAUGGCACAUUUGAGUCGGUUUCCUACGACCCGGUGUUGAAAUCACGUAGUUAAGCUCUGAAAUUUGUUCCAACACUGUAUGCUGCCCAGUAAAUUUUGCCUGGAAUGGUGACGUGACGAUUGGAAGCAAAGCCAGCACUUGGUCCCGAGGACUAAAAACACGGCGCUCAGCCCCCCUGUCAUAUAGAUGCUUCAUCUUGCCCUGAGCUGACUCCAGCUUCUCCUUGGCCAAUACCCCUGCAGUGUACAGCCUGUGCCUAAAGCCAUUGACAUAAUCAAUUAAAUUCUUUGGAGGUUGUGACUCUACCCAGCCGCUAGACAGCGCAGCCAAUGGACCUCUGACAGUGUGUGCGAAGACAAGCUCAUUCGGGCUAAACUCUGUACUCUCCUGUGUCACCUCCCUUGCUGCAAGCAUUAACCAGGGCAACCCGUCCUCCCAGUCUCUACCCAGCUCCGUGCAAUACGCGCGCAAAAGGGACUUAAGAGUCUGGUGGAAGCGCUCCAACGCUCCCUGACUUUGAGCGUGAUAGGCAGAGCUCUGGUUAUGCCAGACUCGCAGCUGUUUCAGCACCUGCUGGAACAUUUGAGAGGAGAAGUUAGACCCUCGAUCUGACUGAAUCACCUUUGGGAUGCCAAACACAGAUAUAAACUGGGAGAGCGCCCACUUUUGUCACGACCAGGCUCUUCAGCCGCGACAAAAACAACGGAAGAUGCACUAGUUAACGUAAACGCAAUGAAUUUAUUAAGAAAACAGCACAACAGCAACUCAGGAGGUGAACACAAACAAGUCAUGGGGUGUGAGGAUCAGUAGAUCAGCUGUGUAGGUGCGUGCAUGCAUGAGUGAAUACGGGGUGUAAUGUGUGUUAGGGUGUUGGAUGCGUAAAACAAAAGACAAAGCCAUCCGCCCGGAGGGAAGGAGAGAGAGAACUGGUGGAGAAGGCGGGGUAUUUAUAGGUUGGGAGACACCGGGCCCAGGUGCUGCCAACCUCACUAACCGAUCGGACCGCCCCCUGGUAACCUCCUGCUUGACAGAGGGAAAAGCAUACAUUAGACACCAGGGAACCGUCACAC
This 6987-nucleotide long non-coding RNA is filed under the name Xyrichtys novacula (pearly razorfish). The record is from RNAcentral. Lineage: Eukaryota; Metazoa; Chordata; Actinopteri; Labriformes; Labridae.